CUCAUGCCAAUUCUAUUGGUGCAGAAUUCCACCAACGUCGGAGAAGCUGGAGUGGAGAUGACCGCGGCCACCGUCGGGACCUGCAAGGAAAGUCUAAACCAGAGUUGGGGGUGCUCCGGCAAGAUCCUCUGAUGCUCAAGUCAGUACUCUGCCUCAACAGAAAUAGAGUGCCUGAAUGAAAAUUUUAGCAGAGUUUUGAGAUAGAGUUUUGAGCUUAGAGAAGAACGUAUCUGGGGGUCCCUUUUUAUGGAUGGAGAGCGUAAU
RNAcentral lists this long non-coding RNA (264 nucleotides) under Elaeis guineensis (African oil palm). RNAcentral describes it as "long non-coding RNA (EGUI_LNC042169)". Lineage: Eukaryota; Viridiplantae; Streptophyta; Magnoliopsida; Arecales; Arecaceae. The record is from RNAcentral.